GUUCUUCAUUCACAUAGAUACAAAGCUCUUAGACGAAAUACCUUACCUAUAGAUAUGGCUGCUCAAACUUCUUAUGCUUGCAUCCUGCUUCUUGCUCUUGUUCUUUUAGCGGCAGGGAAUACUCAUGCACGAGAACUUACUUGCAAAAAGUUUAUACCCAAUGUAUGUCCUAAGGAUGAUCUUGAAACCUGUCCGGCAGUUUGCAAGGAGAAGUUCGAUGGCAUAGGAUACUGUGAUUAUGUUGACAUAGAUUUGCCCUUCAUUUGUAUUUGUGUUACCCAUCAGUGCACUUUUCCUCCCGCUGAAAAGUUCGCACCAUAGUGUCUUCAGUUAGGCAUGGCCACGGUUCUAGAACCAACUGUUAGAACCAGAACUGCAUAGUUCUGAUUUUGGUUCCUUAUAGUUCUGGUUCUGGUUUUCGGUUCCGUAUGGUUAUAUACAAUUUUAUUUAAUUCCUUA
Molecule: long non-coding RNA, 459 nt
Organism: Coffea arabica (coffee)
Lineage: Eukaryota; Viridiplantae; Streptophyta; Magnoliopsida; Gentianales; Rubiaceae
Source: RefSeq, a predicted model, not a curated record